UGAAGAAGAAAAACUUUUGCUUUUUCUGAGAAAGAAAUAAGAGCUGAUUGGUAGUUUGGCUUCUUCUACUACAAGGCAAAAAGGUGUGAAAAAGACAUUUUAACUAGAGGAAAUGUGAUGAGCAUGAUUGGUAUGUAAAGGAAUGUAAAAUGUUUUUUUAGGAAUAGUGACUUAAACUUCACCCUUGUUUAAGCAAACUACCCCACCUCUUCUGUUUCUUAUUUCAUUCCAUUCUUUCACCUACUAUGAGCCACACCCACUUAUCGAAAUGGGAUGGCUGCAAUCCCUUUUCUCUCCAUUGAAGAAACUGUGGAUUCGUCUGCAUUCUGCUCAAAAGAAGAGUAGAGGGAUAUAUAUACUGUACGAGGAUGUCAAGUCCUGCCCCUAUGAAGACGUGCAUGUUCUUUGGUCCAUACUGGUGGAAUCACAUCCACUGGCAUUGCCACCGCCAAAAUGAUGUUCUCAUGUACAAAGAAACUCGACAGUAAUUGGGAGAUUUACAGCCGUGUAUAUAAGAUAGGAACAUCUCCCAAAGUUAAGUUUUGUUUACACAUUUUCGAUUGCAAUUUCUUGCGAGUGAGUUUAUAGAAUGUAAUAAAUUAUUGAUGUUAUCACCACAGAAAUAUGAAUAGUCAACAGCAUAUAAAAAAAGCAAUGUGUUUGCAUGAAUUUUCAGGUCAGACCUAUGAAUUUACUAUACUACUUUCCUGGAUGUGAAGUAAUUAUGUUUUUAAUGUUUUGUGGCUUCUUGUUGA
This is a long non-coding RNA of Olea europaea var. sylvestris, 755 nucleotides long. RefSeq lists it as uncharacterized. The transcript has 2 exons. The record is from RefSeq and is a predicted model, not a curated record. NCBI's taxonomy places the organism in Eukaryota, Viridiplantae, Streptophyta, Magnoliopsida, Lamiales, Oleaceae.